GCGCCCGUAGCUCAGCCUGGAUAGAGCGUUUGCCUCCGGAGCAAAAGGUCCCGCGUUCGAAUCGCGGCGGGCGUACCA
Molecule: transfer RNA, 78 nt
Filed under: Acidobacteriaceae bacterium
Lineage: Bacteria; Pseudomonadati; Acidobacteriota; Terriglobia; Terriglobales; Acidobacteriaceae
Description: tRNA-Arg
Rfam family: tRNA
About the family: Transfer RNA (tRNA) molecules are approximately 80 nucleotides in length. Their secondary structure includes four short double-helical elements and three loops (D, anti-codon, and T loops). Further hydrogen bonds mediate the characteristic L-shaped molecular structure. tRNAs have two regions of fundamental functional importance: the anti-codon, which is responsible for specific mRNA codon recognition, and the 3' end, to which the tRNAs corresponding amino acid is attached (by aminoacyl-tRNA synthetases). tRNAs cope with the degeneracy of the genetic code in two manners: having more than one tRNA (with a specific anti-codon) for a particular amino acid; and 'wobble' base-pairing, i.e. permitting non-standard base-pairing at the 3rd anti-codon position.
Source: RNAcentral